GACUGUAGAUGGUGUAGUGGUGUGAACGUUGGACUAUGACUCUGAAGACCAAGGUUCAAAUCCCGGUUCAGCCA
This is a non-coding RNA of Phrynosoma platyrhinos (Desert horned lizard), 74 nucleotides long. NCBI's taxonomy places the organism in Eukaryota, Metazoa, Chordata, Lepidosauria, Squamata, Phrynosomatidae. The record is from the annotation of a GenBank genome assembly.